GCAACCUCGGCUACAUCAGUCAAGUCCCUGACUAGGCCACCAGCAGCCCAAACUGAACCAUCAUCAUCUGGACCCCAUUCCUCAGAGGGAACUCCAGCAGCCCCAGUUUCUUUAGAAAAAGAUAACAUUGAAGAAGGCUGUUCAGCUCCCAGUGCAGUGCUGCGACGAAAGAGGAAAGGGACAAAAAUUGAAGCUGGUGGAGUGGGAGCCGUGCAAACUCUGUGGAAAGGACUGGCCUUUGGAGUGGGUGCCGGAGAAAGACACCACUUGCUAAUGUUGCCAAAGUGCAGAUGGGACUGCAGUGCCCUUGUGUUUGUCAUGUUGUUUUGUUAUUUGUUUGUUCUGCAGUGUUGCCAAUUAUUGCCACUUGAAGCAAUGAGUGUUCAUUUGCAGUACUUUCUUUAAUAAAUACAUACCAAAUUAA
Long non-coding RNA from Dicentrarchus labrax (European seabass), 424 nucleotides. RefSeq lists it as uncharacterized. The record is from RefSeq and is a predicted model, not a curated record. Lineage: Eukaryota; Metazoa; Chordata; Actinopteri; Moronidae. The transcript is spliced from 4 exons.